Molecule: ribosomal RNA, 213 nt
Filed under: Clostridioides difficile
Lineage: Bacteria; Bacillati; Bacillota; Clostridia; Peptostreptococcales; Peptostreptococcaceae
Description: partial 16S ribosomal RNA
Rfam family: Bacterial small subunit ribosomal RNA
Source: RNAcentral
CCUACAUGAAGCUGGAGUUACUAGUAAUCGCAGAUCAGAAUGCUGCGGUGAAUGCGUUCCCGGGUCUUGUACACACCGCCCGUCAAACCACGGGAGUUGGAGACGCCCGAAGCCGAUUAUCUAACCUGUUGGAAGAAGUCGUCGAAGGUGGAAUCAAUAACUGGGGUGAAGUCGUAACAAGGUAGCCGUAUCGGAAGGUGCGGCUGGAUCACC